UACAGAGGUCCCAAGCGUUGUUCGGAUUCACUGGGCGUAAAGGGUGCGUAGGUGGUGAGGUAAGUCGGAUGUGAAAUCUCCGAGCUCAACUCGGAAAUGGCAUUGGAAACUACCUUGCUCGAGGGUUGGAGGGGGGACUGGAAUUCUCGGUGUAGCAGUGAAAUGCGUAGAUAUCGAGAGGAACACCUAUGGCGAAGGCAGCUCGCUGGGACGUUACUGACGCUGAGACGCGAAAGCGUGGGGAGCAAACAGG
RNAcentral lists this ribosomal RNA (253 nucleotides) under uncultured bacterium. RNAcentral's name for it is "partial 16S ribosomal RNA". It matches the Rfam family "Bacterial small subunit ribosomal RNA", at positions 524 to 776 of the family's 1533-position model. The record is from RNAcentral.